AAGGUCCCUGCCAUGCGAUAUCUAAUCAGAAUGUCAAUAUGAGAAAAUUAGUGAUUUAGGGAAAGUGUUCUUCAAUUUACAUCUGUAUCCAUGUGAGAAGGAAAGAGGAAGAGGAAGAGGAAGAAGAGGAGGAAGAGGAGGAAGAAUCACUGUCCUAAGGAUACCCUAUUGUAAGAUCAUCAAAAGGAAAAUAAAAGCACCCCUCUUUAGGGCAAUUCAUGUCGUCACAGGUGGCCCCACCCUCCAGAGCCUUCACCUGAGUGUAUUGCAAGCCAACUCUCCAGUUAUUUCUUAAAAAUAAAAUGAUCCUUAAAUGAUGUGAUGGUCAACCACGAUACUAGAGUUGUUAGCUUUCAUUGGAC
Molecule: long non-coding RNA, 362 nt
Filed under: Rhinopithecus bieti (black snub-nosed monkey)
Lineage: Eukaryota; Metazoa; Chordata; Mammalia; Primates; Cercopithecidae
Description: lncRNA (ENSRBIG00000045686.1)
Source: RNAcentral